CCAAGCACCCACAUUCUAGAAACAGUCUCUCCCCAGCUCACUUGGCUGAAGAUACUAAAGAGAACUAGAUGUUAUCUAGUGUUAUCCUGCUGAUCCCAAUUUCCUAUAGUUCUGGCACCAGAAAAUCCUGAAUGAUAGGUUUUUCUGAAGCUGCUGACAUCGGGUCAGCCCUCAACACCAUCACCUUUGGCCAUGUUCAGGAAGUACUCAAAGGUAACACUGGCAGCCAAGAGCAGGCCAAUCAAUGUCUGGCCACCACCCUAAUCCCACCUGGACAGUCACACCCCACCUCCCUAUGUGUGUUCGCACAGUGGGGGUGAUAUCAUGUGGGUCUGGCCUGUCCUGAGCAGAACCUGGUGUUGGGUUGUCAGAAACCCAGUGACCCAUCACGUUCACUCUUCAGAUCAUGGCUCAAAAGUCUGCAGAGCAGAGACAAGAGAUUGACAAAGAGGUGUUGAUGAGGGCAAUAAAAGCAAAGGUGGCUUUAUCACGGUGAGCUACUUCUCACAGGAGUCGGGAUCCACAUCUGCAGACUACACAAAAACAAACAACACAGAUUAAAAGCACAAUCACCAUUGAAA
RNAcentral lists this long non-coding RNA (581 nucleotides) under Homo sapiens (human). RNAcentral describes it as "HSALNT0385392". Lineage: Eukaryota; Metazoa; Chordata; Mammalia; Primates; Hominidae. The record is from RNAcentral.